CGCGUAGGCGGUCCGGAAAGUUGGGUGUGAAAGCCCUCAGCUCAACUGAGGAAUUGCGUCCAAAACUGUCGGACUCGAGGGAGACAUAGGUGAGCGGAACUUAGGGUGGAGCGGUGAAAUGCGUUGAGAUCCUAAGGAACACCAGUAGCGAAAGCGGCUCACUGGGUCUCUUCUGACGCUGAUGCACGAAAGCUAGGGGAGCGAAGA
RNAcentral lists this ribosomal RNA (207 nucleotides) under uncultured bacterium. RNAcentral describes it as "partial 16S ribosomal RNA". It matches the Rfam family "Bacterial small subunit ribosomal RNA", at positions 568 to 774 of the family's 1533-position model. The record is from RNAcentral.